RNAcentral lists this ribosomal RNA (424 nucleotides) under Verrucomicrobiota bacterium. Its description in RNAcentral is "Verrucomicrobia bacterium partial 16S ribosomal RNA". It matches the Rfam family "Bacterial small subunit ribosomal RNA", at positions 355 to 776 of the family's 1533-position model. The record is from RNAcentral. Lineage: Bacteria; Pseudomonadati; Verrucomicrobiota.
UGAGGAAUAUUGGUCAAUGGGCGAGAGCCUGAACCAGCCAAGUAGCGUGCAGGAUGACGGCCCUAUGGGUUGUAAACUGCUUUUAUGUGGGGAUAAAGUGCGUGACGUGUCAUGCAUUGCAGGUACCACAUGAAUAAGGACCGGCUAAUUCCGUGCCAGCAGCCGCGGUAAUACGGAAGGUCCGGGCGUUAUCCGGAUUUAUUGGGUUUAAAGGGAGCGUAGGCUGUCUAUUAAGCGUGUUGUGAAAUAUACCGGCUCAACCGGUGGCUUGCAGCGCGAACUGGUCGACUUGAGUAUGCAGGAAGUAGGCGGAAUUCAUGGUGUAGCGGUGAAAUGCUUAGAUAUCAUGAAGAACUCCGAUUGCGAAGGCAGCUUACGGGAGUGUUACUGACGCUUAAGCUCGAAGGUGCGGGUAUCGAACAGG